CUGCCUGCGUUUGGAGGUCAUUUGUUCCGUUGCUUCUGGAGAAGAGGAGAUAAUUUUAAACACUUGUAAUCAGCUUAUUAACAAAGUGGAUCAGAAGGGCUGUAAUCACCUUGAUUUCUCAGCCUGUGAAGACAUCAGUCAGGAUCCAUCUGAGCUGAGACCCAUGCCCUGAGCUUCACCUGGUUCCUGCUCAAAUACCCUCAAUCCUCAGCCCCCUGGUAUCACUGUGCUGAGUCACACCAUCUUCCUCCAAAUGAAAAUUGGCAAAGACACGAUGUCAGCUUCCCUGUCCCACAGCCUCCUCCUCCUACUCUUCCACAGGCACUCAUUUUAUCUGAUUUUCCAUCUUCUGACUCCUUCACUUGCCUUAGUGACUCAAGCCCAUUGCCUUUACACUCACUUUCAUCCUCUUCUGAGCGUUUU
Molecule: long non-coding RNA, 423 nt
Filed under: Gallus gallus (chicken)
Lineage: Eukaryota; Metazoa; Chordata; Aves; Galliformes; Phasianidae
Description: long non-coding RNA NONGGAT003721
Source: RNAcentral